UUUUACUCUCUCUCCCAGAUCUUCUAAUUUUAAAGAAAACCCCUAAACUAUCACAAAUUUUGCAAAAAAACACUCCGGGACCACUGUUCCGUUUGGUUUUUGCGCUGAUACAUGCACGUGACAUAUGAUAUAUUUCCAAAAAUCCCAUUUAUACCCUUCUAACCGUUGCUGGUAUAUCCGUUUGGGUUUGGUUUUUUCCCACGUGUGAGUUUUAACCCAAUAAAACCCAAUCUGCAAUCUGUAUUGUUAACCCUAAUUUCAAUUCCUUUUCUUCCCUACCAAAAUUCCCAAAUACUACUCGAUCGUUUUGUGCAAGCCUUCAACACACAGACCAAACGUAUCAAUUUCGCUCACAAACCCUUGCUUUUGUUCACAAUCUGCCAACAAUCAGAAGCAUAUUGCUGUGAUUUACAGUGAGAAAACGAAGGGGUAAUAAAUCGAAGAUGUGUUGAAGUUGUGUUGACAACAGUAAGAUUCCGAUGAUAAUCCGGGGAGAAUCUAUUACAAAUGUUCAGCUGGAGUUUGCACUUUCUGGGAAUGGUGGAAGCAUUCUUCAUCAUCACCACCACCACAAAUGCAAACACCACCCCCAAUAGCAGUAGUAGCAACAACGGCAAUGACAACACCAAAUAUGAAUGUGUUAAUUUCAUUUAAAAAAAAUCUCUUCAUUAGCAGCUUGUUUCUUUUUGGGUUAUCUGUUUUGGUGUUGGUUGUUGCAUUGACACUUAGGUGAGGUUGUGUCUACAACCAAAAUGCCAAAAGACUUGUGGAGUGUUUGGUGAAUUGAUGCUUAGGUGGGUUUUUAGUUGUUGCAAUUUUCUGGGUUAAAGUUUGGAGGAAUUUUUGCUUGUUUUAGCAGGGGGGCUGACUAUGUUUAUCUCUUUUGGUGCAUUGAUAUGUAGGAGUUGGUUUCUGGGUUAAUAGUGUAUAUGUAGCAGUGUGUAUUGGGGUUAACUAAUGUAUGGAUAGUCGAUCUUGAUUAUGAUUUAGAAGAAUUAAUGUUGUAUUGAUGAUCAAUUAAUGAAAAAAUGAAUGAUUUUGUUGUUGUCAA
Molecule: long non-coding RNA, 1051 nt
Organism: Cornus florida
Lineage: Eukaryota; Viridiplantae; Streptophyta; Magnoliopsida; Cornales; Cornaceae
Exons: 2
Source: RefSeq, a predicted model, not a curated record